GUUCCCGUGGAGGGUGAUAGCUGCCGCCGCCAUUUUCCGAGGGGGCUGCGGGGUCCCGCUGGGAACGGCACUCGGUUCUGGUGACAUGGAGGCCUCUCUUGUUGCCUCCUUGAUGGGUCAGUGGAGGGCCUGAUGCUGCUGAGGGCCACGACUGCUCUUGAGGGUGUGCUGAUUUGGGUGUGGAGUAUUUUCCCACAAAUCAAACAGGACUAUCCACACUAUAUUUAUACACAAAGCUUGAAAAGUUACUAAUUUUCCGAAUCCAUCUUGUUUACAAUGAUUGUUAAUAAGUUACAUAGAGUUACAAUGUCAUUAACAAUCCUUUUGCAACUAUGCAUGCUCAAGGGGCAAAUAAUAAAAUAAAAGGGUCGGCAGGAGUGAUUAUAAUGAGGGUAGUUCAAUUAAGGGUCUCUUAGUUUCCCAGUUUUCUUGCUGAAUUGGCAAUGCACAUAAAACAUCCUGAUUAAUGUUCUCCUCAAGGCCUACUUGCUCCAGGAUGUCCUUGGUUAAAGGAUGUUCAUCUGAGCAGGGAUGAUUAAUUGCCCUUUGCUUGUCAGCUUAACGUAUACAACAAACAUCUUCAGCUAGCUAAGUUUUUACAGCUUGUCUUCAACAAUGGUGUGGGUCUACAUGGUGUAUUAGCUGAUGGGACCUGUGCACUGGAGAAAACCAUGAGCAGGACCUCACUGAGGCCUCCUCACCCUUCCAGUGUGGCACCAGAUGGCCCUACUAUGGGCACCAGGCCACCGGAGUGAGCUCUUUGUUCACCUUUUGCUGCUGUGAGCCAUGCUGGCUGAAGACAAGGCAUCACACACCACUGCCUGGAUAUUUCCUUCCUGGUGGGGAACUUGGUCAGUGCCUGGCUCUCAUUACCUUUCCGAAAAAAUGGACACCUCUUGUACUUCCAGUGAGGGGCAGCAACAGGAGUGUGGAACUACAGCACAAUGCUGGUGAUGCAUGAUUUCUAGUUGGGAGCAUUGCCCAACUGGAGCCGCAUGCCAUGGGCUUGCUGGGUUUUUAAUAUUCCAUUUUUCAGUAGGUUUUGUUAAUGGGUGUUUGCAGGUUUGGGUGGGAUAGUGAACCUCAGCAGCACCUGUCAGUUCUGACUUUGACCUUCCUACUAGGACACCUAUGAAAACUAUGGAUGGUUCCAGUCACUGGAGAAGAGGCAUUUCUUGUCCUCAUCUGCAAGUCCUAUAAAGGUCUGCAGGAAACAGAGGCUUUUAGAUAUCGCGUGGAUAUACUACAAUUUAAACACUCCCAGAAAUGCAAAACCAGUUCCUCUAACAGAAGGCAAAAAUUCCGGGCAGCUGUCCAAGAUAUUAUUUCAAUCCAUCUCAGGUGAUCAGAAGCUUCAUCUUUUCUAGUUAAUUGUUUCCUGUGCCUGACUCUUGUCCGAUAUGGAAGUGCACUGAUGAAAACUUGGCUCAAGAACGUCUCAAGUUAUUAGAAUGUAAGCAGGAAAAAUCACCUUGGAGCUAGACAUGCCUACCCCCUCCCCUCCCUGCAAGUUUCA
Long non-coding RNA from Numida meleagris (helmeted guineafowl), 1516 nucleotides. RefSeq lists it as uncharacterized. The record is from RefSeq and is a predicted model, not a curated record. NCBI's taxonomy places the organism in Eukaryota, Metazoa, Chordata, Aves, Galliformes, Numididae. The transcript is spliced from 3 exons.